CCUACGGGGGGCAGCAGUGAGGGAUAUUGCACAAUGGGGGAAACCCUGAUGCAGCAACGCCGCGUGGGUGAAGAAGGCUUUCGAGUCGUAAAACCCUUUUCUAGGGGAAGAGGAAGGACAGUACCCUAGGAACAAGUCUCGGCUAACUACGUGCCAGCAGCCGCGGUAAGACGUAGGAGGCGAGCGUUAUCCGGAUUCAUUGGGCGUAAAGGGCAAGUAGGCGGUUGUCAAAGUUGGGCGUGACAUCUCCUGGCUCAACUAGGAGAGGUCGUUCAAAACUAGGCAACUAGAGGGCAGAAGAGGAAAGCGGAACUCCUGAUGUAGCGGUGGAAUGCUUAGAUAUCAGGAAGAACACCAGUGGCGAAGGCGGCUUUCUGGUCUGCACCUGACGCUGAGAGGCGAAGGCCAGGGUAGCGAACGGGCUUAGAUACCCCAGUAGUC
Molecule: ribosomal RNA, 441 nt
Filed under: uncultured bacterium
Lineage: Bacteria
Description: bacterial SSU rRNA
Rfam family: Bacterial small subunit ribosomal RNA
Source: RNAcentral